CUCGUUGUGUACAUGUGUUUGCUCCAGCGCCCUUUGUGUGGAUUUACCCUGUGUUUUUUGGAUCAAAGACUGUUUACAUUUCCUCAUGCCUCCUGCGUGCUCCUUCCUACAGCGUACCGUGACAGAAGACACAACCAAGUCAUGGCUGUGGUUGGCGAGGGUGAAUGUAAAGAUGCCUCCGUCUUCAUUUCCAUUUCCACAGUUGUCCUCUUUCAUCAUGGAGCCAGUGGCCAUUUACCUCCAAACAUCACUUCAGUUUUCCCAGAGGAGCUCCGUCACAGGACCACGGAGCCUCGCUUUGAUCAUCACAAAGACCCCAGAGUCUCUCAGGGGGACAGGUCUCUGUUUUUUUUCUCACUCUCUUUCUUCAAAUCUCUUAUUUUCCCCUGAGAAACUCUCAUCUCUCAAGACAAAAAGGGCCAUGGUGGUGAGCAGUGAGGCAGAACUGGUUUUUCCCAAGUAACAAACCAAACCAGUCCUACUUAGCUCUUCAUCACAGUUUAG
Long non-coding RNA from Cyprinus carpio carpio, 504 nucleotides. Lineage: Eukaryota; Metazoa; Chordata; Actinopteri; Cypriniformes; Cyprinidae. The record is from Ensembl.